RNAcentral lists this ribosomal RNA (1239 nucleotides) under metagenome. RNAcentral's name for it is "bacterial LSU rRNA". It matches the Rfam family "Bacterial large subunit ribosomal RNA", at positions 1564 to 2813 of the family's 2925-position model. The record is from RNAcentral.
UGAAUACGAGACGCUAAGGCGUCUAAGUAGUGUAUGUCAUACUUCCAAGAAAAGCUUGCACUGUCAUAGAUAAAAAACGCCUGUACCAUAACCGACACAGGUGGGUAGGUAGAGUAUACUAAGGGGCGCGAGAUAACUCUCUUUAAGGAACUCGGCAAAAUAACUCCGUAACUUCGGGAGAAGGAGUGCCUUAUUAUUAAGGCUGCAAUAACAAGAUCCAAGCAACUGUUUAUCAAAAACACAGGUCUCCGCUAAGUCGUAAGACGAUGUAUGGGGGCUGACGCCUGCCCAGUGCCAGAAGGUUAAAGAAGUUGGUUAGCAUUUGCGAAGCUGAUAACUGAAGCCCUGGUGAACGGCGGCCGUAACGAUAACGGUCCUAAGGUAGCGAAAUUCCUUGUCGGGUAAGUUCCGACCCGCACGAAAGGCGUAAUGAUUUGGAUACUGUCUCGGAGAGGGGCUCGGUGAAAUAGACUUGUCUGUGAAGAUGCGGACUACCUGCACCAGGACAGAAAGACCCUAUGAAGCUUUACUGUAACUUGAAAUUGAAAUUGGACUUUAUUCGCGCAGCAUAGGUGGGAGGCGUUGAUUAUAAUCUUGUGGGAUUAUUGGAGCCAUCAGUGAGAUACCACUCUUGUAAUGUUAGAUUUCUAACUUUGAAUCAUUAUCUGGUCAAAGAACAGUUUCAGGCGGGCAGUUUGACUGGGGCGGUCGCCUCCUAAACGGUAACGGAGGCGUACAAAGGUUUCCUCUGAACGGUUAGAAAUCGUAUCUAGAGUGUAAAGGCAUAAGGAAGCUUGACUGUGAGACCUACAAGUCGAGCAGGGACGAAAGUCGGUCUUAGUGAUCUGACGGUACUGAGUGGAAAGGCCGUCACUCAACGGAUAAAAGUUACUCUAGGAUAACAGGCUGAUCUCCCCCAAGAGUUCACAUCGACGGGGAGGUUUGGCACCUCGAUGUCGGCUCAUCGCAUCCUGGGGCGGUAGUACGUCCCAAGGGUUGGGCUGUUCGCCCAUGAAAGCGGUACGCGAGCAGGGUUCAGAACGUCGUGAGACAGUUCGGUCCAUAUCCGGUGUAGGCGUUGGAAUAUUGAGAGGAGCCUUCUUUAGUACGAGAGGACCGAGAAGGACAUACCUCUGGUGUACCAGUUAUCGUGCCAACGGUAAACGCUGGGUAGCUAUGUAUGGAGUGGAUAACCGCUGAAAGCAUCUAAGUGGGAAGCCCUCCUCAAGAUAAGUAUUC